This 296-nucleotide ribosomal RNA is filed under the name uncultured bacterium. Its description in RNAcentral is "partial 16S ribosomal RNA". It matches the Rfam family "Bacterial small subunit ribosomal RNA", at positions 333 to 621 of the family's 1533-position model. The record is from RNAcentral.
UCAUUCCUACGGGGGGCAGCAGUAGGGAAUCUUCCACAAUGGACGAAAGUCUGAUGGAGCAACGCCGCGUGAGUGAAGAAGGGUUUCGGCUCGUAAAGCUCUGUUGGUAGUGAAGAAAGAUAGAGGUAGUAACUGGCCUUUAUUUGACGGUAAUUACUUAGAAAGUCACGGCUAACUACGUGCCAGCAGCCGCGGUAAUACGUAUGGUGCCAGCGUUAUCCGGAUUUACUGGGUGUAAAGGGAGCGCAGGCUGCGCGUUAAGCCUGGUGUGAAAGCCCGCGGCCCAACCGCGGGAC